CCUACGGUGCGCAGCAGUGGGGAAUAUUGGGCAAUGGAGGCAACUCUGACCCAGCAAUGCCGCGUGAGUGAUGAAGGUAAUUUUAUUGUAAAGCUCUUUUCUUUGGAACGAAUAAAUGACGGUACCAAAGGAAUAAGCCCCGGCUAACUACGUGCCCGCAGCCGCGGUAAUACGUAGGGGGCAAGCGUGGUUCGGAUGGACUUGGCGUAAAGUGUGUGUAGGUGGUUGGAUAAGUAAGAUGUGUAAUACCCAGGGCUUAACUCGGGGUCUGAAACGAAAACUGUUAGACUUGAGUACUGGAGAGGAUAUUGGAAUUCCUAGUGUAGCGGUGGAAUGCGUAGAUAUUAGGAGGAACAUCAGUGGCGAAGGCGACUAUCUGGACAGCAACUGACACUGAGGCACGAAAGCGUGGGGAGCAAACAGGAUUAGAUACCCUGGUAGUC
RNAcentral lists this ribosomal RNA (443 nucleotides) under uncultured bacterium. RNAcentral describes it as "partial 16S ribosomal RNA". It matches the Rfam family "Bacterial small subunit ribosomal RNA", at positions 338 to 795 of the family's 1533-position model. The record is from RNAcentral.